GCCCCUUAUGUUCUGGGCUACACACGUGCUACAAUGGCCGGUACAGACGGACGCAAAGCCGCGAGGUGGAGCAAAUCCUAAAAAGCCGGUCUCAGUUCGGAUUGCAGGCUGCAAUUCGCCUGCAUGAAGUCGGAAUCGCUAGUAAUCGCAGGUCAGCAUACUGCGGUGAAUACGUUCCCGGGCCUU
RNAcentral lists this ribosomal RNA (186 nucleotides) under uncultured Bacillus sp. RNAcentral describes it as "partial 16S ribosomal RNA". It matches the Rfam family "Bacterial small subunit ribosomal RNA", at positions 1197 to 1382 of the family's 1533-position model. The record is from RNAcentral. Lineage: Bacteria; Bacillati; Bacillota; Bacilli; Caryophanales; Bacillaceae.